UCCGUAGGCGGGUAAUUAAGUCAGAGGUGGAAUCCCACAGCUUAACUGUGGAACUGCCUUAGAUACUGGUUAUCUUGAGUUUUAGUGAAGUAGAUAGAAUGUGUAGUGUAGCGGUGAAAUGCAUAGGUAUUACACAGAAUACCGAUUGCGAAGGCAGUCUACUAACUAACAACUGACGCUAAUGGACGAAAGCGUGGGGAGCGAACAGGAUUAGAUACCCUGGUAGUCC
This 229-nucleotide ribosomal RNA is filed under the name uncultured bacterium. RNAcentral's name for it is "partial 16S ribosomal RNA". It matches the Rfam family "Bacterial small subunit ribosomal RNA", at positions 568 to 796 of the family's 1533-position model. The record is from RNAcentral.